Molecule: ribosomal RNA, 632 nt
Filed under: Pectobacterium brasiliense
Lineage: Bacteria; Pseudomonadati; Pseudomonadota; Gammaproteobacteria; Enterobacterales; Pectobacteriaceae
Description: bacterial SSU rRNA
Rfam family: Bacterial small subunit ribosomal RNA
Source: RNAcentral
CUUAAAUUGAAGAGUUUGAUCAUGGCUCAGAUUGAACGCUGGCGGCAGGCCUAACACAUGCAAGUCGGGCGGUAGCACGGGGGAGCUUGCUCUUUGGGUGACGAGCGGCGGACGGGUGAGUAAUGUCUGGGAAACUGCCUGAUGGAGGGGGAUAACUACUGGAAACGGUAGCUAAUACCGCAUAACCUCGCAAGAGCAAAGAGGGGGACCUUCGGGCCUCUCGCCAUCAGAUGUGCCCAGAUGGGAUUAGCUAGUAGGUGAGGUAAUGGCUCACCUAGGCGACGAUCCCUAGCUGGUCUGAGAGGAUGACCAGCCACACUGGAACUGAGACACGGUCCAGACUCCUACGGGAGGCAGCAGUGGGGAAUAUUGCACAAUGGGCGCAAGCCUGAUGCAGCCAUGCCGCGUGUGUGAAGAAGGCCUUCGGGUUGUAAAGCACUUUCAGCGGGGAGGAAGGCAGUAAGGUUAAUAACCUUGCUGAUUGACGUUACCCGCAGAAGAAGCACCGGCUAACUCCGUGCCAGCAGCCGCGGUAAUACGGAGGGUGCAAGCGUUAAUCGGAAUGACUGGGCGUAAAGCGCACGCAGGCGGUCUGUUAAGUUGGAUGUGAAAUCCCCGGGCUUAACCUGGGA